RNAcentral lists this ribosomal RNA (494 nucleotides) under uncultured bacterium. Its description in RNAcentral is "partial 16S ribosomal RNA". It matches the Rfam family "Bacterial small subunit ribosomal RNA", at positions 28 to 507 of the family's 1533-position model. The record is from RNAcentral.
GACGAACGCUGGCGGCGUGCUUAACACAUGCAAGUCGAACGGUGAAGCGCCUUCCUUUUUGGUGGGUGUGGAUGAGUGGCGAACGGGUGAGUAACACGUGAGUAACCUGCCCCCUUCUUCUGGAUAACCGCAUGAAAGUGUGGCUAAUACGGGAUAUUCUGGGUCUGUCGCAUGAUGGGUCUGGGAAAGAUAUUGUUUCGGUGGGGGAUGGGCUCGCGGCCUAUCAGCUUGUUGGUGGGGUGAUGGCCUACCAAGGCGGUGACGGGUAGCCGGCCUGAGAGGGUGGACGGUCACACUGGGACUGAGACACGGCCCAGACUCAUACGGGAGGCAGCAGUGGGGAAUAUGGCACAAUGGGCGCAAGCCUGAUGCAGCGACGCCGCGGGAGGGAUGGAGGCCUUCGGGUUGUGAACCUCUUUCGCCAGUGAAGCAGGCCUGCCUCGUUUGUGGGUGGGUUGACGGUAGCUGGAUAAGAAGCGCCGGCUAACUACGUG